RNAcentral lists this ribosomal RNA (566 nucleotides) under Fusarium sp. zzz1124. Its description in RNAcentral is "eukaryotic LSU rRNA". The stretch from base 183 to 336 matches the Rfam family "5.8S ribosomal RNA". The record is from RNAcentral. Lineage: Eukaryota; Fungi; Ascomycota; Sordariomycetes; Hypocreales; Nectriaceae.
UGUCUACCGUACCUGACCGACGUCGCAUUCAUUACCGAGUUUACAACUCCCAAACCCCUGUGAACAUACCAAUUGUUGCCUCGGCGGAUCAGCCCGCUCCCGGUAAAACGGGACGGCCCGCCAGAGGACCCCUAAACUCUGUUUCUAUAUGUAACUUCUGAGUAAAACCAUAAAUAAAUCAAAACUUUCAACAACGGAUCUCUUGGUUCUGGCAUCGAUGAAGAACGCAGCAAAAUGCGAUAAGUAAUGUGAAUUGCAGAAUUCAGUGAAUCAUCGAAUCUUUGAACGCACAUUGCGCCCGCCAGUAUUCUGGCGGGCAUGCCUGUUCGAGCGUCAUUUCAACCCUCAAGCCCUCGGGUUUGGUGUUGGGGAUCGGCGAGCCCUUGCGGCAAGCCGGCCCCGAAAUCUAGUGGCGGUCUCGCUGCAGCUUCCAUUGCGUAGUAGUAAAACCCUCGCAACUGGUACGCGGCGCGGCCAAGCCGUUAAACCCCCAACUUCUGAAUGUUGACCUCGGAUCAGGUAGGAAUACCCGCUGAACUUAAGCAUAUCCAAAGGGGGGAAAAAAA